RNAcentral lists this ribosomal RNA (253 nucleotides) under uncultured bacterium. RNAcentral describes it as "partial 16S ribosomal RNA". It matches the Rfam family "Bacterial small subunit ribosomal RNA", at positions 524 to 776 of the family's 1533-position model. The record is from RNAcentral.
UACGAGGGGAGCAAGCGUUGUUCGGAUUUACUGGGCGUAAAGGGCGCGUAGGCGGCGUGACAAGUCACUUGUGAAAUCUCCGGGCUUAACUCGGAACGGUCAAGUGAAACUGUCGUGCUAGAGUACAGAAGGGGCAACUGGAAUUCUCGGUGUAGCGGUGAAAUGCGUAGAUAUCGAGAGGAACACCUGCGGCGAAGGCGGGUUGCUGGGCUGAUACUGACGCUGAUGCGCGAAAGCCAGGGGAGCGAACGGG